AGGACGAACGCUGGCGGCGUGCUUAACACAUGCAAGUCGAGCGGAAAGGCCCUUCGGGGUACUCGAGCGGCGAACGGGUGAGUAACACGUGAGCAAUCUGCCCUUAGCUUCGGGAUAGCUCCGGGAAACCGGAAUUAAUACCGAAUAUGACUUCGGCCGACAUCGGCCUUGGUGGAAAGUUUUUCGGCUAGGGAUGAACUCGCGGCCUAUCAGCUUGUUGGUGGGGUAAUGGCCUACCAAGGCGACGACGGGUAGCCGGCCUGAGAGGGCGACCGGCCACACUGGGACUGAGACACGGCCCAGACUCCUACGGGAGGCAGCAGUGGGGAUAUUGCGCAAUGGGCGAAAGCCUGACGCAGCGACGCCGCGUGGGGGAUGAAGGCCUUCGGGUUGUAAACCCCGUUUCAGCAGGGACGAAGCGAAGUGACGGUACCUGCAGAAGAAGCGCCGGCUAACUACGUGCCAGCAGCCGC
This 473-nucleotide ribosomal RNA is filed under the name uncultured bacterium. Its description in RNAcentral is "SSU rRNA". It matches the Rfam family "Bacterial small subunit ribosomal RNA", at positions 26 to 518 of the family's 1533-position model. The record is from RNAcentral.